GUCGAGCGGUAGCACAAGAGAGCUUGCUCUCUGGGUGACGAGCGGCGGACGGGUGAGUAAUGUCUGGGAAACUGCCUGAUGGCGGGGGAUAACUAGUGGAAACGGUAGCUAAUACCGCAUAACGUCGCAAGACCAAAGUGGGGGACCUUCGGGCCUCACGCCAUCAGAUGUGCCCAGGUGGGAUUAGCUGGUAGGUGGGGUAACGGCUCACCUAGGCGACGAUCCCUAGCUGGUCUGAGAGGAUGACCAGCCACACUGGAACUGAGACACGGUCCAGACUCCUACGGGAGGCAGCAGUGGGGAAUAUUGCACAAUGGGCGCAAGCCUGAUGCAGCCAUGCCGCGUGUGUGAAGAAGGCCUUCGGGUUGUAAAGCACUU
This 378-nucleotide ribosomal RNA is filed under the name Serratia symbiotica. RNAcentral describes it as "bacterial SSU rRNA". It matches the Rfam family "Bacterial small subunit ribosomal RNA", at positions 61 to 435 of the family's 1533-position model. Lineage: Bacteria; Pseudomonadati; Pseudomonadota; Gammaproteobacteria; Enterobacterales; Yersiniaceae. The record is from RNAcentral.